Molecule: non-coding RNA, 657 nt
Organism: Stegastes partitus (bicolor damselfish)
Lineage: Eukaryota; Metazoa; Chordata; Actinopteri; Pomacentridae
Source: the annotation of a RefSeq genome assembly
AGCACAAUGAUCAUGUCCCUGACUCUACUGCUGGCCACCCUGGGGCUCCUUGUUCAGGGUUCAUCAGCAGAAAUCACUGUGACUCAGUCUGAUAGAUCUCAGUCUGUUCCAGGACAGACUGUCUCCAUCAGGUGUACAACCAGUCAAAGUGUUUAUAGUACAUACAAUGGUUCCCCCCUGAUCAGCUGGUACCUUCAAAAACCUGGACAAGCUCCUAAACUCCUGAUUUAUAAAGCUUCAAUUCUUCAAUCUGGAGUUUCUGAUCGUUUUAGUGGAAGUGGAUCUACAACUGACUUCACUCUGACCAUCAGUGGAGUUCAGGCUGAAGAUUCAGGAGUUUAUUACUGUAAGAGUGCACGCUGGAUCAACAAUCAGGAUGUGUUCACGUUCGGUGGAGGAACCAGACUGGAAGUUGGACGUAAGUCAAUUUCUUUUUUAGACAUCUGAUUAUUUCAGGAGCAAGUGUUCACAUCUCACUGCUCUACAAACUGAAAUAUGAUUUUGAUGUCUUUAUCUUUAAUUUUUGAUCAAUAUUUGUUCUCAUUAGAAACAGAAAUAAUGAAUCAAAACUUUUCUAUUUCAGUAUUUGCUCCAUAAGAUAAAGUGUAUAAUCACAUUUUAAAUGAUUGAAACUUGAGGAUUAAUAAAUGUUCAGAC